Molecule: ribosomal RNA, 393 nt
Filed under: uncultured bacterium
Lineage: Bacteria
Description: partial 16S ribosomal RNA
Rfam family: Bacterial small subunit ribosomal RNA
Source: RNAcentral
AUACGUAGGGAGCGAGCGUUGUCCGGAAUUACUGGGUUUAAAGGGAGCGCAGGCGGAGAUGCAAGCGUGACGUCAAAUUUCGGGGCUCAACCCCGUCUCGCGUCGCGAACUGCGUCCCUUGGUUGCGGGAAGGGGAGGCGGAACUCGUGGUGUAGCGGUGAAAUGCAUAGAUAUCACGAAGAACUCCGAUCGCGAAGGCAGCCUCCCGGCCCGUCAACGACGCUCAUGCUCGAAGGUGCGGGUAUCAAACAGGAUUGGAUACCCUGGUAGUCCGCACAGUAAACGAUGGACACCCGCGGUUUGGCCUAUAUGGCUGAGCCGCCAAGCGAAAGCGUUAAGUGUCCCACCUGGGGAGUACGCCGGCAACGGUGAAACUCAAAUGAAUUGACGGGG